UUAAUGGUUUUAUUCUUGUUUUAUCAUUAAAAAAAAUUGAAUUCAAAUCACAUAAGAAAAACUCAAUUAACAUCGCACAUAACUCCAUCGAGAAGGUAAAAUUAAAAUGAUAAUCUCAUUCAUCACUUCAAUUAUUAUUCAAAUACGCUUAUUUAUUUCAUCUCAAACUCAUAACAAUAACUGAAAAUAAAAACAAAAACUUCACUUAUUUUUAUUCUUGUUCUCAAAAUACUCGAUCUGCUCAUCAAUCUUUUUAAUAAUCUCAUCAAGCAUCUUAAUCUUACCCUUAAUCAAUUUUAAGUCCUCAUUCAGAUCUCCACUAGAACCGCCACUCGAUACUCCCUUUUCCAUAUAACCAUCAUUCUCACACUUGAGUAGCAAGUACUCUAUCUCAAGCCAUUUGUUAUUCUCAAUCUCAUCUUUCAGCGUCUUCUCCAACUCUUUGAUUUUUUCGUCGGCAACUUCGUCGGUAGUCAAUUCAUGUUGCACCUUUCUCUUCAUCGUGAUUUUUGCUUUUCUUCUUUUAUAUCUUUUAUUGUUUGGAUGUUUGGUGAUCGUAAGAUUAGACGGUGAAGUGAAACCUAUUUAUAUGUAAAUUGUUAGGAGAGAAUGGUGUGAGAUUGUAAUGAGAUGUGUGUGAACACGGGAAUAGAGUUAA
RNAcentral lists this long non-coding RNA (658 nucleotides) under Linum usitatissimum (flax). Its description in RNAcentral is "long non-coding RNA (LUSI_LNC005108)". Lineage: Eukaryota; Viridiplantae; Streptophyta; Magnoliopsida; Malpighiales; Linaceae. The record is from RNAcentral.